GUGUAUAUAGCUCAGUUGGUUUAGAGCGCCAGAUUGUGGCUCUGGAGGUCACCGAUUCGAAUUCGGUUAUACACC
RNAcentral lists this transfer RNA (75 nucleotides) under Crassvirales sp. RNAcentral describes it as "tRNA-His". It matches the Rfam family "tRNA". Rfam says of the family: Transfer RNA (tRNA) molecules are approximately 80 nucleotides in length. Their secondary structure includes four short double-helical elements and three loops (D, anti-codon, and T loops). Lineage: Duplodnaviria; Heunggongvirae; Uroviricota; Caudoviricetes; Crassvirales. The record is from RNAcentral.